RNAcentral lists this ribosomal RNA (3388 nucleotides) under Fusarium bactridioides. RNAcentral's name for it is "16S ribosomal RNA". It matches the Rfam family "Bacterial large subunit ribosomal RNA". The record is from RNAcentral. Lineage: Eukaryota; Fungi; Ascomycota; Sordariomycetes; Hypocreales; Nectriaceae.
AGCUAUAUAUUAAAGAGAUUUAUUUAUAUAAAUAGGUUUGCUAGCUGAUUGUAUAUAUACGCAGGCCAAUGCUUCUAAUUUCAUAGCAAGCUCGCUUGCUAUGAAAUAGGCAACCAGUAAUAUAAGCAAGUGUGUGCUAUUUAUAGCGCUAGCCUACAAACCUAUAAUUAUAUUAACUCUAAGAGAAAUUUAAUAAUAAACGAAGUGAAUUGAAAUAUCUUAGUAACUUUAGGAAAAGAAAUCAAAAGAGAUUCUAUGAUUAGCGUGAGCUAAAAUAGACUAGCCUAAAAAGUCAAAUGGUGGAUAAACUGUUUAAAUUAAAUGGGGAACCUUCCUCAAAGGCUAAAUAUAAUAUAUAAGCGAUAGUGGAAAGUACCGUGAGGGAACCAAAACAAAAACAGUGAUUUUAUAAGCAGUUCGGGAAAAUAAAAAAAAAGUUAGAACGUACCUUUUGCAUAAUGGGUCACCAAGUUAACAUUAGAUGCGAGUAGGAGGGAGCUUUAUAAAAAAAAAUAUAUUUUUUUUUAUAGCCCCGUGUAUACGUAGUUAAACCGAGCGUUAAAAUAACGGUAAGUAUCUAAAGUUAGACCCGAAGCCUGGUGAUUUUACCAUAAUCAGGAUUAUAAAAGUCCGAACGGAAUAUUGUAGCAUAAAUAUCCGAAGAAUUAUGGUAGGUGUAGUGAAAGACAAUACUGACCAGGAUAGCUGGUUUUCUGCGAAACCUAUAACAGUAGGCAAUUUAAGUAUAAUAUCUUAGCAGGUACAGAAUUUAAUCUCAGACAAGACAUAAGGCUUAGCUUGCUAGCAAGUAAAGCUCAUGUUUUAUUUUGUACAAAUUGGGGGAUCAUGAAGAUUUUAUCAGUGAGUAUGUAGACUCGGAAUGGCAAAGAUAUAUCUUAAAUCAUCAGACAUAGAAUGAUAAGGUUGUAUGUCAAAAGGGAAACAGCCCAGAACAAGAGUUAAGGUUCCUAAAUUAUUAGUUGAGUGAAAUUAAGAAGGUUUUUAUUAAAGUCGACAAGGAGAUAGGCUUAGAAGCAGCCAUAAUUUUAUGACCUCGUAACAGAGCGCUUGUUAAGUUUUAAAAGCAUCGAAAAUUUAUCGGAUCUAAACAAUAUACCGAAACCUUGUCCAUAUUAUUUUAUAAUUAAAGCUUAAUUAUAAUUAAAUGGGGUAGCAGAACGUUGAGCUAAAUUAAGAUUUUUAUUUUUUAAAUGAAAUUAUAAUAAUUUAACUCAAGUGAUAAUGGUGACAUGAGUAACUAAAAGAAAAAAUAAAAUUUUUCCGCCUAAAGCUUAUGGAUGUAAUUAAGUAACGGCCUCUAAGUUUAUAUUAUCUAAAGAUUUAAACGAUGAGAUAAUCUUUUGUACUAAGGACGACAUUUUAAGUGGAAAAUGUACUGGAAAAAUAGUACUAAAUUAAUGGCUAUAGCUAAUUAGGGCUAUAUAAAAAAAUAUAUUUUUUUUUAUAUAGCUCGCUAUAGCUAUAAAUGAAAAGUAACCGUACCUAGAAUCUGAAACAAGUAAGCUAGUAGAGAAUACGAAGGCGUAAAUGAGCUAACAAUCAUAAAGGAACUCGGCAAAUUGACUACCGUAACUUCGGGAUAAGGAGAGCUCAUUAUUCUUGAUUAAUAUCAGGUAAAGAGGAAGAAGCAUGAAAUAGUGUUGUACGACUGUUUAAUUAAAACACAGCACUUUGCUGAAAGAUUAAAAAUCUAAGUAUAGAGUGUGAUGUCUGCCCGGUGCCGGCUGGUUAACAGAUAUAAUUAAAUAUACUAAUAUUUGAUGUAGACGGAAACCCCGGUUAAAGGCGGCCUUAACGUGAGGGUCCUAAGGUAGCGAAAUGCCUUGGCCGUUAAAUGCGGUCUUGCAUGAAUGAUGUAACGAUACAACAGCUGUCUCUAUGAUUGACUCAGUGAAAUUGGAAUAGCUGUGCAGAUACAGUUUACCUCUAGUUAGACGAGAAGACCCUAUGCAGCUUUACUGUCACUAAUUAUAGAGUAUGAUAAACAAUUUUCAGAUUAUAAGGUAAUUGACGGCUAGCUUGUUCAGCAAGCUAGCUCUAUGACAAUGAGAAUCCUUUAUUUUUUUUUCAUAUGAAUGAAUUGGUUUAGGAUUAUGAGUAGGUAGCUGCUUCUGCUACUUGGCGCAAGCAUUGCUUGCGUCAGGUGUCUGAAGUAUGCAUUCCAGCUCAUGCAUAGUAAAUCAACCUAAUUCAGCUUAUUUUCCUUUCUGCCAUAAGCGCAUAAUGAUAGAUUUAACUUAAAUUUUGAUUUAGGCCGAGCCCCUCCGGGGCUACUGCAGAAAUAGAUAAGUACCCUUGGCUAAGGAACUAUCGCUAGGGGACAGUUUAUGUGGGGCACAGACCCUGUAAAGAGUAAACAGGAGUGUCUAAUAAUUUAUAAUUAUUUUGUUUGCGAUUUAAGAUAGUGAAACUAUUUUUAAUCAUAUAAAAUUAUUUAUAUGUACAUUCGUUGUAUAUAUAUUUAAAAAAAGGUAGGAUUUUCACUAUAUAGAAAUUAGAGAUAAUAAAAAUAUUAAGAAUAUACGUUUCAGGUAGCACUAAUAUUUUUUAGCUAUUAAGACAGGCUAUCAAGCUAGGCUCUAAUAGUUAUGUAUUAAUUAUCUAAAAAGCUCAACGGCUAAAUCUUGCCUUACUGUUUGAUUAUCAACAAAUCUUACAGUUGCGUAAGCAGGGCAUAGGAUCACAAGAUGCAACAAGGAAAGAUCUUGGAUUAUUGGAAAAGCUACGCUAGGGAUAACAGGCUAAUUUGCGCAAGAGUGUACAAAAUGAGUGCGCGGUUUGGCACCUCGAUGUCGGCUUAACUUAUCCUCAUGGAUGCAGGAACUAUGUAGGGUGCGACUGUUCGUCGAUUAAAAAGUUACAUGAGCUGGGUUAAAUACGUCGUGAGACAGUAUGGUUUCUAUCUUCUAGGGGGAAUUAGAAUAUAAUAAGAACUAACUUUUGUACGAAAGGAACAAGAAGAAUUUAAUUUGUAAAAGGGUUAAAUAAUAGUUACUAACCUAUGGUUUACCUGUUGUCUAUGUGCCCAAAUAUUAAAAUAUAUAUGGAGGAAGCUCCUUAAGAGCUUCCCCCGCAAAUUAUAUAUAUCUGUAUAGCUAGCCUGCGGACUCCGGUUAUGCCUGAGUUUGGCAAGCUAAAGCUAUACAUAGGGAUGUUUCUUUCACUAAGAUAAAUAUAUAGCAUAGGCACGGCAGGAAAGCUAAGUUGGUUAAGGAUAAGUGCUGAAAGCAUAUAGGCACGAAGCUUAUCUUAAGAUAUUUCUUAAAUAUACGUAAAAUAUUAUUACGAAGGAUGUAAUAUAGGCUUUAUCCGUACGAAUCUGGAGAUUUUUAAGAAUAAAGUACUAAUUUUAUAAAUAACUAUUUAU